RNAcentral lists this ribosomal RNA (247 nucleotides) under Betaproteobacteria bacterium. RNAcentral's name for it is "partial 16S ribosomal RNA". It matches the Rfam family "Bacterial small subunit ribosomal RNA", at positions 1 to 250 of the family's 1533-position model. The record is from RNAcentral. Lineage: Bacteria; Pseudomonadati; Pseudomonadota; Betaproteobacteria.
GAACUGAAGAGUUUGAUCCUGGCUCAGAUUGAACGCUGGCGGCAUGCUUUACACAUGCAAGUCGAACGGCAGCACGGGGGUAACCCUGGUGGCGAGUGGCGAACGGGUGAGGAAUGCACCGGAACGUGUCUUCAAGUGGGGGAUAACGCAUCGAAAGGUGUGCUAAUACCGCAUAAUCUCUGAGGAGAAAAGCAGGGGAUCGCAAGACCUUGCGCUUUUGGAGCGGCCGAUGCCUGAUUAGCUUGUU